This 786-nucleotide long non-coding RNA is filed under the name Marmota monax (woodchuck). The record is from RNAcentral. Lineage: Eukaryota; Metazoa; Chordata; Mammalia; Rodentia; Sciuridae.
GGAAUUGAUGGGCUUGCCUUGGAGGACCUUAAGGUCCUUCUGAUGACCUUGGCUUUUACUCUGAUAUGGGAGCCAUUGGAAAGUUUUGAGUGGAGAAAGGACAUGGGUCUGAUUUUUUUUUAAUAUUUAUUUUUUAGUUUUAGGUGAACACAAUAUCUUUUUAAAAAAAUAUUUUUUAGUUGUAGUUGGAAACAAUACCUUUAUUUAUUUUCAUGUGGUGCUGAGGAUCAAACCCAGGGCCUUGUUAUGUGCUAGGCAAGCGCUCUACUGCUGAGCCACAAACCCAGCCCCUGGACACAAUAUCUUUAUUUUACAUGUAUGUGGUGCUGAGGAUUGAACCCAGUGUUUCUUGCAUGCUAGGCGAGCACUCUACCAUUGAGCCAUAACCCCAGUCCAUGGAUCUGAUUUCUUUUUAAAACAGAAUCUCUUUAGCUACUAUAUGGAAAAAAUAUUUGAAGAAAUGCAGAAUAGUAGCAAGAGUCUAUUUAGGAGGUGACUGAGUUUUCUUCUGAACAUUAACUGAGAAGGGGAAGGCUGUGGAAGGAGCAGGUUUUGGUGGUGAGUUGGAGAGGAGGAAGUAGAUCAGAUACAACAUCAAUUUGAGAUGUCUAUUAGGCAUCCCAAUGGAGAUGUCAAGAAAGCAGGUAGAGCCUGUUAUGGUGGCGCACACCUGCAAUCCCAGCUACCUGGAGGCUGAGGCAGGAGGAUCAUCCAUUCUAGGCCAGCAUCUGCAAUUUAAUGAGACCCUGUCUCAAAAUAUGAAAGUGGGCUAGGGAUGUAGCUCAG